This 253-nucleotide ribosomal RNA is filed under the name uncultured bacterium. RNAcentral's name for it is "partial 16S ribosomal RNA". It matches the Rfam family "Bacterial small subunit ribosomal RNA", at positions 524 to 776 of the family's 1533-position model. The record is from RNAcentral.
UACGUAGGUGGCAAGCGUUGUCCGGAUUUACUGGGCGUAAAGGGCGUGCAGGCGGUUUGUUAAGUGCAGAGUGAAAGCUCCCGGCUCAACUGGGAGAGGUCUUUGCAUACUGGCAAACUCGAGGGAGGCAGAGGAAAGUGGAAUUCCCGGUGUAGUGGUGAUAUGCGUAGAUAUCGGGAGGAACACCUGUGGCGAAGGCGGCAUCCUGGACCGGCAUUGACGCUGAGGCGCGAAAGCCAGGGGAGCAAACGGG